Schistosoma rodhaini is the source of this 45-nucleotide non-coding RNA. The record is from Rfam. NCBI's taxonomy places the organism in Eukaryota, Metazoa, Platyhelminthes, Trematoda, Strigeidida, Schistosomatidae.
AUCUAUCUGACGAGUCCCGAAAAGGACAAAACGCGUGUCGUGGAU